This 1492-nucleotide ribosomal RNA is filed under the name uncultured bacterium. Its description in RNAcentral is "bacterial SSU rRNA". It matches the Rfam family "Bacterial small subunit ribosomal RNA". The record is from RNAcentral.
AGAGUUUGAUCCUGGCUCAGGACGAACGCUGGCGGCGUGCUUAACACAUGCAAGUCGAACGAGAAUCUACUGAAAGAGUUUUCGGACAAUGGAUGUAGAGGAAAGUGGCGGACGGGUGAGUAACGCGUGAGGAACCUGCCUUGAAGAGGGGGACAACAGUUGGAAACGACUGCUAAUACCGCAUGAAGCAUAGGGGUCGCAUGAUCCUUAUGCCAAAGAUUUAUCGCUUCAAGAUGGCCUCGCGUCUGAUUAGCUGGUUGGCGGGGUAACGGCCCACCAAGGCGACGAUCAGUAGCCGGACUGAGAGGUUGAACGGCCACAUUGGGACUGAGAUACGGCCCAGACUCCUACGGGAGGCAGCAGUGGGGAAUAUUGGGCAAUGGGCGCAAGCCUGACCCAGCAACGCCGCGUGAAGGAAGAAGGCUUUCGGGUUGUAAACUUCUUUUAAGAGGGAAGAGCAGAAGACGGUACCUCUAGAAUAAGCCACGGCUAACUACGUGCCAGCAGCCGCGGUAAUACGUAGGUGGCAAGCGUUGUCCGGAUUUACUGGGUGCAAAGGGCGUGCAGCCGGGUCUGCAAGUCAGAUGUGAAAUCCAUGGGCUCAACCCAUGAACUGCAUUUGAAACUGUAGAUCUUGAGUGUCGGAGGGGCAAUCGGAAUUCCUAGUGUAGCGGUGAAAUGCGUAGAUAUUAGGAGGAACACCAGUGGCGAAGGCGGAUUGCUGGACGAUAACUGACGGUGAGGCGCGAAAGUGUGGGGAGCAAACAGGAUUAGAUACCCUGGUAGUCCACACUGUAAACGAUGAAUACUAGGUGUGCGGGGACUGACCCCCUGCGUGCCGCAGUAAACACAAUAAGUAUUCCACCUGGGGAGUACGAUCGCAAGGUUGAAACUCAAAGGAAUUGACGGGGGCCCGCACAAGCGGUGGAUUAUGUGGUUUAAUUCGAAGCAACGCGAAGAACCUUACCAGGGUUUGACAUCCUGCUAACGAAGUAGAGAUACAUUAGGUGCCCUUCGGGGAAAGCAGAGACAGGUGGUGCAUGGUUGUCGUCAGCUCGUGUCGUGAGAUGUUGGGUUAAGUCCCGCAACGAGCGCAACCCCUAUUGUUAGUUGCUACGCAAGAGCACUCUAGCGAGACUGCCGUUGACAAAACGGAGGAAGGUGGGGACGACGUCAAAUCAUCAUGCCCCUUAUAUCCUGGGCUACACACGUAAUACAAUGGCGGUCAACAGAGGGAAGCAAAGCCGCGAGGCAGAGCAAACCCCCAAAAGCCGUCCCAGUUCGGAUUGUAGGCUGCAACUCGCCUGCAUGAAGUCGGAAUCGCUAGUAAUCGCGGAUCAGCAUGCCGCGGUGAAUACGUUCCCGGGCCUUGUACACACCGCCCGUCACACCAUGAGAGUCGGGAACACCCGAAGUCCGUAGCCUAACCUGAAAAGGAGGGCGCGGCCGAAGGUGGGUUCGAUAAUUGGGGUGAAGUCGUAACAAGGUAGCC